This 253-nucleotide ribosomal RNA is filed under the name uncultured bacterium. RNAcentral's name for it is "partial 16S ribosomal RNA". It matches the Rfam family "Bacterial small subunit ribosomal RNA", at positions 524 to 776 of the family's 1533-position model. The record is from RNAcentral.
UACGUAGGGGGCAAGCGUUGUUCGGAAUUACUGGGCGUAAAGGGCGCGUAGGCGGCAUGGCAAGUCAGGAGUGAAAGGCCUGGGCUCAACCGAGGAACUGCUUUUGAGACUGCCAAGCUAGAGUGCGGAAGGGGCAACUGGAAUUCCCAGUGUAGCGGUGAAAUGCGUAGAUAUUGGGAAGAACACCGGAGGCGAAGGCGGGUUGCUGGGCCGACACUGACGCUGAGGCGCGAAAGCCAGGGGAGCAAACGGG